RNAcentral lists this ribosomal RNA (508 nucleotides) under uncultured bacterium. Its description in RNAcentral is "partial 16S ribosomal RNA". It matches the Rfam family "Bacterial small subunit ribosomal RNA", at positions 30 to 523 of the family's 1533-position model. The record is from RNAcentral.
AUUGAACGCUGGCGGCAGGCCUAACACAUGCAAGUCGAGCGGCAGCGGGAAAGUAGCUUGCUACUUUUGCCGGCGAGCGGCGGACGGUUGAGUAAUGCCUGGGAAAUUGCCCAGUCGAGGGGGAUAACAGUUGGAAACGACUGCUAAUACCGCAUGCGCCCUACGGGGGAAAGCAGGGGACCUUCGGGCCUUGCGCGCUUGGAUAUGCCCAGGUGGGAUUAGCUAGUUGGUGAGGUAAUGGCUCACCAAGGCGACGAUCCCUAGCUGGUCUGAGAGGAUGAUCAGCCACACUGGAACUGAGACACGGUCCAGACUCCUACGGGAGGCAGCAGUGGGGAAUAUUGCACAAUGGGGGAAACCCUGAUGCAGCCAUGCCGCGUGUGUGAAGAAGGCCUUCGGGUUGUAAAGCACUUUCAGCGAGGAGGAAAGGUUGAUGCCUAAUACGUAUCAACUGUGACGUUACUCGCAGAAGAAGCACCGGCUAACUCCGUGCCAGCCGCCGCGGUAA